CUGAUGUGUGAGUUAGGCGGACGUAACAAAAAGCCUGGUAUUUAAGUGGAGAAGAGUCAAGGGGUGUGCCAAUUAUCCACCGAGUUCCGAGCUGUGCACCAGAAGAAAGGUUACCUCAAUGCCACCAUGAAAAUACAGUCAAAUAGAUUUUUUUAGUGCAACUCCACAAUGAAAAAUUGAAUCUUUUGAAAAGGGUAUGAACCAAAAAGAAGAAAGAAACAAGUCCCAAGUCAGGUUACCUCAAUGCCACCAUGAAAACACAAUCAAGAACAGCUUUUUAGUGCAACUACACUAUGAAAAAUUGAAUCUUUUGAAAAGGGUGUGAACCAAAAGGAAGAAAGAAACAAAAUCCAAUUCAGAUUACCUCAAUGCCACCAUAAAAACACAAUCAAGAAGAGCUUUUUAGUGCAAAUCCACCAUAAAAACACAGUCAAGAAGAGCUGUUUAGUGCAACUCCACUAUGAAAAAUUGAAUAUUUUGAAAAGGAUGUGAACCAAAAGGAAGAAAUAAGAGGACCCAAUUCAAGUUACCUCAAUGCCACCAUGAAAACACAAUCAAGAACAGCUUUUUAGUGCAACUACACUAUGAAAAAUUGAAUCUUUUGAAAAGGGUAUGAACCAAAAAGAAGAAAGAAACAAGUCCCAAGUCAGGUUACCUCAAUGCCACCAUGAAAACACAAUCAAGAACAGCUUUUUAGUGCAACUACACUAUGAAAAAUUGAAUCUUUUGAAAAGGGUAUGAACCAAAAAGAAGAAAGAAACAAGUCCCAAGUCAGGUUACCUCAAUGCCACCAUGAAAACACAAUCAAGAACAGCUUUUUAGUGCAACUCCACCAUGAAAAAUUGGAUCUUUUGAAAAGGGUGUGAACCAGAAGGAAGAAACAACAAGACCCAAGUCAGGUUACC
This 905-nucleotide long non-coding RNA is filed under the name Solanum tuberosum (potato). RNAcentral's name for it is "long non-coding RNA (STUB_LNC009537)". The record is from RNAcentral. Lineage: Eukaryota; Viridiplantae; Streptophyta; Magnoliopsida; Solanales; Solanaceae.